RNAcentral lists this long non-coding RNA (2168 nucleotides) under Drosophila melanogaster (fruit fly). RNAcentral describes it as "long non-coding RNA:CR43654 (Dmel_CR43654)". Lineage: Eukaryota; Metazoa; Arthropoda; Insecta; Diptera; Drosophilidae. The record is from RNAcentral.
GACAAAUCCAUUUGCCCCCCCCCAACUGCUGAUCCAAUUGUGGCCCUCGCCAAAUUAGCAUGGAACAAUCCACCCUCGAAUAUAGCAAACUAGUAUAGUAUCUACAUCUUUUUAUAUCUUUUGUGCAUAGCUUGACCUCCCGCAUGAGCGUGUGUUUUAAUGGUCUUGCACAAAAAUAAGUUGCCAAAGUAAACAAAAGUGCAGCUUCGCUUUCCUAGCGGUGGGUCCAUCACCUCCAAGACUGGAUGAGCUCAGAUGAAAUGCGACUGAAUGCGGGAUGUGGCUCCCCAACACGGUGCUGCACUUUGCUCCCGGCUAAGGGUCAUCAUCCCAUCCAAUUCCAUCCCAAACCCAUCCCAUGCUGCGCGAAAAACUCUGCGCACAACCUGAGACGCAAAAAAGAGAAAUCCUUGAUGAGGAAGCCAUCCAGUUUAAAUGCCAUGAGUAAGAAGUGAUAAAAAUGGCCAUUUUCUGCAAGUUUAAGUGUUCCUCAAAAAAGUUUAAUUUACAGACAGUUUGUUUCAUAAAACCAAUAUUUUACCACAGCUUAUAAGUUAGUAAGCACUACUAAAUGCCUUUUAAGUUUAAGUGUUUAGUAAUAACUAGGCAAACUGCUUUAAUUCCAGAAAUCUUAAAGGAAUUAUAAUCGGACUCGUGACUAGAUUGGUUUUGCUUUUUAUCAUUGUUAAGUCAGCUAAUCAUACUAAUCCGAUAGAUUUAUUCAAUAGCUGCUAUGUGGUCAUCUGUCAAAGCCUAUAAACUGAUGAUUGGGAUUAAACAUACUUAGUGUACAUUAGAUGAAUGAAACUAAGUGCUACUGCGUUUAAAGUAUUAUAUACUAUCAUUUUGAAUUAUUCAAAUCGCGUAACUUUGUAAUUCAAAUCCCCCAGUUUUUGCUAUUUGAAGGGAAAGUCUCAUGUUACCGAUGGCUUUCCCUGAUAGAUGCCCCAAUGUUCAUGGUCGUUUAUCAUUCAGCCGUCAGCAAAGUCAAAUAUUAUAGAAGCAUAUUUAAUGACAUAUUUAAGUUACCAUCAGGCCGUAAUUAUGUCAGUGCCGCGAUGACAAAUCUCGAAAGAUCGCUGCGAAAAAGGGGCGACUGCAUUCGAAGCGUCACAUGUGGCCAAUGGGCUAAUUAAAGACUCCAGACUUUGUUUACUCAUCCCCAAAGAACAGACUUGAAGAAAGAGGCUCAAUUUUCAUAGAAGAAACCAACGAGGGGGAAACUACACGGAUCUACUUCGAUUGCACAAACCAGCAGGCGAAACGCUUCCUAGUUUGACAACCGUGCGGCGAACGGGAACGGGAAUAUUGAAACAUAUUGACAAUUUCACAAUCGGCCACAAAAUGAAAACUGAGGCAGAUGUUGCAACAUGGCUGUGACAACCGCAUGGACGAUGUUUUCCCGCUGUUGUGCUCCGACUUUUGGCUUGGCACUUGCAGACCUUGACAACAGCAAUAUGUCAAAUGUCAAUUUGAUUCACAACCAACUACGUAGCAUGCCACAAGACAAGACUAAAAAAAAACCGAAUGCAUGCCACACAUAUUUCACGUACUGAGCGCGAAAGAAAUUGCGUCAAGUGGACUUUUUCUUGUCAUAAAGUGAAAGUCGAAAUCAUGCGUAAUUACCGAUCCAUAAAAUGCGGAAUAGUCUACUCGCGCCAUAAGAUAAAACCGAUCGAUCAAGUCUAGUGUCCCAACUUUGAGGAGUGCGAAGACAGGCGACAAAAAACGCAGACAAAACCUACGCAGCCACUCGAUGCGUGCAACUAUCCAAACUAUCCAGCUAUACAACUAUCUAUGUAUCUAUGUAUCUAUCCACAUGUCUUCGCUCCUCGGCUGUCAAUACCGUUUAACGCUUGUCCAUGAACAAAUUGGUAAAUCUUUCCAAUGACAAGCUACACAAAACUUUAAAAUUUGUAAAAAGAAAACAUUGAUCGAACGUUUAAUGCUCUUCAGGCCAGGAAAUAAUCAAAAGAAGUCAAAAGAGGUUUUAAAGAAACUUCAUUUGAACCUAAAAUCAAAAAAAUUAGAAAAUUUGUAUAACGUAAAAGUAAUUUUAUUUACUUUUCUUCCGUAGAUAUGGGGAAUAACUAAUGAUAAAAAGAUUAAUAGCUCGAAUGUUUGUUUUAUUUAACCAAUAAUAAAUUUAUUGAUGGUCACAAGAUCGG